UACGGAGGAUCCAAGCGUUAUCCGGAUUCAUUGGGUUUAAAGGGUGCGUAGGCGGCCUUAUAAGUCAGUGGUGAAAGCCCAUCGCUCAACGAUGGAACUGCCAUUGAUACUGUAAGGCUUGAGUACAGACGAGGUAGGCGGAAUUGAUGGUGUAGCGGUGAAAUGCAUAGAUACCAUCAAGAACACCGAUUGCGUAGGCAGCUUACUAGGCUGUAACUGACGCUGAGGCACGAAAGCGUGGGGAGCGAACAGG
Molecule: ribosomal RNA, 253 nt
Filed under: uncultured bacterium
Lineage: Bacteria
Description: partial 16S ribosomal RNA
Rfam family: Bacterial small subunit ribosomal RNA
Source: RNAcentral